UACGUAGGGGGCGAGCGUUGUCCGGAAUGAUUGGGCGUAAAGGGCGCGUAGGCGGCCAUGCAAGUCUGGAGUGGAAGUCCAUUUUUCAAGGGUGGAAUUGCUUUGGAAACUGUGUGGCUGGAGUGCAGGAGAGGUUAUCGGAAUUCCCGGUGUAGCGGUGAAAUGCGUAGAGAUCGCGAGGAACAUCAGUGGCGAAGGCGGCUUCCUGGUCUGUAACUGACACUGAGGCGCGAAAGCGUGGGGAGCAAACAGGAUUAGAUACCCCCGUA
This 269-nucleotide ribosomal RNA is filed under the name uncultured prokaryote. RNAcentral describes it as "partial 16S ribosomal RNA". It matches the Rfam family "Bacterial small subunit ribosomal RNA", at positions 524 to 792 of the family's 1533-position model. The record is from RNAcentral.